AUUAUCAAGGUUCAGCUACAUCACCCAUCUCUUCACAGCUGCACGUGUACCAACUUCCUAUUUCUACCAGAUUGUUAAUGGCUGUUCUUAUUAAUUUCACAGGGAGGCGAUCAAACAAAGUCUUAUCUGGGUGGAGCAGCAGAUGUCUGGUGUAACCUUUGCAAUAUUUUCAAAUGGACACUUAGCAGGCAUACUGCAACCUUGUUGUUGAGAGGGAGAGUGAAAUCAUGGCUUCUUUUUGCCUGCUCCUCCAACAGCGUGCUGACAUUUUAGCAUUAGUGGCUCUGUCAGAGUGUGAAAGAAUCAACCCUUACCGUCCCCCCAUAACACCCCAGGAUAGAACUCUGUCUGCGAGAUGCGCACAGGGGACAAACACAUCAGGGGUCUGCAAAAACCACCUCCCUGGAAAUAUCUCCUCAUGCUCCCUGCCAUAAACCUGCAUACAAGAGGUGGACACAUUGCACAUACUUCAUUGAAAGGUAACGUUACAGUAUUCGAAUAAAGUAAAUUUAAUGAGGUAUCUGUAGCCCUCCAAGUUCACAAAGUGUAAUCUAAUAUAAUAAUUCACUGUGUGUUAAAAUUAUAUAUUUACCUUCAGUUUAUUGUAUUAUAGCCAACAAACUUUUCUAUGCUUUUUGUGUGUCUUUGGUCAUUAGGAAGAAAGAAAUAACAGUAAGCAGUUAGUAGAAGAUUGAAUUGCUAGAACAAUUAAGCUAAUCAUUAGAAAAUAGUUCAUUUCUCCCUCAAAAGUUUUAGGAUGUGGAGUCCCAAACAGCAUGAAACCAUGUGAUAAAUGUGAUAAAAGCA
This 807-nucleotide long non-coding RNA is filed under the name Oreochromis niloticus (Nile tilapia). Its description in RNAcentral is "lncRNA (ENSONIG00000042095.1)". The record is from RNAcentral. Lineage: Eukaryota; Metazoa; Chordata; Actinopteri; Cichliformes; Cichlidae.